AACGAACGCUGGCGGCGUGCCUAACACAUGCAAGUCGAGCGCGAAAAGGGCAACCUGAGUAGAGCGGCGCACGGGUGCGUAACACGUGGGUAAUCUGCCUCAAAGUCUGGGAUAACCUGCCGAAAGGUUGGCUAAUACCGGAUAAGCUCACGAGGUCUUCGGACUUUGUGGGAAAAGGUGGCCUCUGUUUACAUGCCAUCACUUUGAGAUGAGCCCGCGGCCCAUCAGCUAGUUGGCGGGGUAACGGCCCACCAAGGCUACGACGGGUAGCUGGUCUGAGAGGACGAUCAGCCACACUGGAACUGAGACACGGUCCAGACUCCUACGGGAGGCAGCAGUGGGGAAUUUUGCACAAUGGGCGAAAGCCUGAUGCAGCAACGCCGCGUGUGUGAUGAAGGUCUUCGGAUCGUAAAGCACUUUCGACCGGACGAACAACCUCU
This 440-nucleotide ribosomal RNA is filed under the name uncultured bacterium. RNAcentral's name for it is "bacterial SSU rRNA". It matches the Rfam family "Bacterial small subunit ribosomal RNA", at positions 29 to 457 of the family's 1533-position model. The record is from RNAcentral.